This 658-nucleotide long non-coding RNA is filed under the name Homo sapiens (human). RNAcentral's name for it is "HSALNT0187977". Lineage: Eukaryota; Metazoa; Chordata; Mammalia; Primates; Hominidae. The record is from RNAcentral.
AAGCAACUUAAUGAAUGAAUGGAUGAAUGAACAUCUCCAUUUUGAGGUGAGAACAUUCAAAGGUGGGCCAUACAGGAUUUAUGUAACUCAUCUAAGAAUUCAAGGACUUUGCGCAUCAGUAGAUAAAUGGAAAAAUCAUUCCCAACACAGGGAUUGAAAGUUAUUCUUUAUUCUUCCAUAUUGAUUUACAUCUAUUUAGAACUUGAAGAUUUUUAGUGUUAUGCCUACUCUGCCAAUUCUUGGAACAUUUGCGGAACUGAGAAUUUACUUCUUCGUUUAUUACUUCCUAACUACAUUUUAAAGGUGCCAAUAAAAUAAAAACCACAAAGACAAAGUGGAAUGUGGAGGACAUGAAAGUUUCAUGCUAGGAAUUAAACUAGAACAUGAAGAAGCAUCCGGAGAUCUCCAGUUCUGAAUACCCUGGUCACUGUCAACAAGUUCCAAAUGAUUUAAAGUACUAAUUGAAUUUGAUAAUUGUUUAUUGAUCACAUAGUAUAUACUCUGCAUCAGAAGCUGCCUCUAAGUAGUGUCACCUUAAGCAGAAGGGAUUGAGGCUCAUUUGUUCUAGAUUCAGAUCAUUCAACAAAACAUGGCAUGAUUUCCACAGUCUCUGACAUUCUGAUUGCAUUGCUUGAGAAAAUUCUCAGUCUGGGAAUCU